CACAUUUUAAAUACCACUUUCCUGUUCACUUUUUUCUUCCAUCACCCUUAACACCAUCCACCCUUCAAGCUAUUUAGUGUUGCGGCCCCCAUCUACCAUCAUCGGCAAUUGCCCAUAACACCUACAAACAGCCGCAUGCCCAGCAGCCACCAUCGCAAGCACCAUCACUCCCUUGCGCACCAACUUGCACAGCUCUGCCCUGCUCACACACCUUACUGCUCGCGCGCCAUCGCUGUUGCUUCUAGCACCCUAGCAUUCGCACGCCAUCGCUGCUACUUCCAGCUCCUUAGCCUUUGUGCACCGCAGCUACUCCUUGUCCUUGACACGUGCACAGCCUUGCUUCAAACACACUACCCGCGUGAGCUUUGCUACCUUUACACCACGACACCAUCACAAUUAGCCACAACCAUCAAGUCACCAAAUAAUCUCCCUCCAACCAACUCUAAAAUAACAUUAUUAGCUUCAAAC
This 468-nucleotide long non-coding RNA is filed under the name Gossypium barbadense (sea-island cotton). RNAcentral describes it as "long non-coding RNA (GBAR_LNC012288)". Lineage: Eukaryota; Viridiplantae; Streptophyta; Magnoliopsida; Malvales; Malvaceae. The record is from RNAcentral.